AGGCCACAUGGACAUUUCAAAUCCAAUUAACAAUGACCAGUGAGGUGACUCGGCUUUGUCAAAGGAGCACCCCUAAGCUAUGUUCGGCCUUUGUACUGAGAGAGGAAGUUGCAUCUCUGGGUGGACACAGCCUGUGGCUCCUGUUGUACAAAGGGCCAGGCCCAGGAGAAGAAUGGAUUGGAGAAGGGACAUCAUGUUUCACAGCUGUGACAUUUGCCAUCGGGCCUCAGGACACCCAAUG
This 241-nucleotide long non-coding RNA is filed under the name Cercocebus atys (sooty mangabey). Its description in RNAcentral is "lncRNA (ENSCATG00000045418.1)". Lineage: Eukaryota; Metazoa; Chordata; Mammalia; Primates; Cercopithecidae. The record is from RNAcentral.